GAGGGCACACACUUAGUGUGUUGUGAAAUCUGUAAUGAAUGUAUUGUUUUUAAAAUGGUAUAACUGCCUUAAUUUUGCUGGACCCCCAGAUAGUCGUUUCUGCCUUGGCAGAACUAAUGGGGAUCCUUAAUAAAUACACGUACACAUGGAUGUUGCAUUGUAAAUAUGUGGUGGUGGAGUGGUGGCCUGAGGGAACACACUGAAUGUGUUGCGUAAGGUGUUAUGAAAUGUAACGUAAUGUCUGUAUUUUAAACUGGAUGUAACUGUCUUAUGUUGCUGGACCCCAGGAGCUGUUGAUAAGGUUCCAUAAUAAAUACAAAUACAAUCUGCUGAUGUAAGAAUCAUUUUAUCAAAUGAAUUUGACAUUGGCUGUGUUUGUGUGCAUGCUAAUUUAUCUUAGUUUUAAGGACAAUACCAGGGACCCUUCCUUCCCAGACAGACGGCAGCAGGUGCAAACUGCCAGCCGUCAUAUACAGCAUGGUGUUCAUGUCGUGGGUGUAGGCAUAGGCGUGAACCUAUACAAUGUGGAGAGCUGUGAAAGCCUGUCUGCAGAUGAAGAGAUCCCAAGUGAAUGUCCCAAGAGCAUGUCUGCAGAUGAAGAGAUCCCAAGUGAAUGUCCCAAGAGACUUGUCUGCAGAUGAAGAGGUCCCAGUGAAUGUCCCAAGAGCCUGUCUGCAGAUGAAGAGGUCCCAGUGAAUGUCCCAAGGGCCUGUCUGCAGAUGAAGAGGUCCCAGUGAAUGUCCCAAGAGCCUGCUGCCACAUCCUUGUAAACCAUGUGUUUUAUGUGUACUUAUGUUAACUGUAUUGUUGCAUACAACAUGUGCUAAAAGUCACACACAAUGUAGGCUACAAACAUAUUACAAUCCUUCUCCUGGAGGUAUGCUGGGUGUGCAGGCUUCUGUUCCAGCCCUGAUUCAACUUAUAAAACCUAAUGAGUUGAUUAAUAAUGUGUAUUAUUGCUGGGAUGGAACAAAAGCCUGCUCACCCAGUAGAUCAGGGAGUGGAGUGAGGUUGGCCACCUGUGGUAUGUAUUUUUUUGUUCACCUGAAAUCGUGCUUCAGUAAUAAUAGCCUACUUACUAAAAUGUCUAACAUUUACAAACAAUUUCGAUUAUUUGUACAUUUGGAAAUUAUAUUUUGAUUCAUUGAAGUGAAGUGUUUGAACUGGUUUUAAUUGUUAACUUAAAAACAUUAUUCAAGAUGAACUAGUCAAUGUCCAUUCAUCACAGAUCACAAUUCUGCAAUAAAAAGGUGUGAAGGGGA
Non-coding RNA from Salmo salar (Atlantic salmon), 1262 nucleotides. Lineage: Eukaryota; Metazoa; Chordata; Actinopteri; Salmoniformes; Salmonidae. The record is from RefSeq and is a predicted model, not a curated record.